UUCCUUUCAGAAUUUAUUUUCAAUAUUGUCCAAAAUUAUUUUCUUUGUGGGUAUCUUACUCUGCUUAGUGGAAAUAAUCUGUCACUUGUAAACUGAUUUUGAUCUACUUUGAAUUCCCUUAGGGAAGAGAUUUAAUGAAACAAGUAAUUGAAAAUAGUUUUUCAAAAAUUGUGUCACUGUAUUAGUUUACAACUUGAAAUGGAUUUCUCAUAGGAAUAGUAUUUAAAAGAUCAGGAUGUAGUGACCUAAUAAUAUUAGGGUAAAUUCAGGUCAUGAAUAGGAAGGGAGAAAAGAAUUUCUGCUCCUUUAUAACAACCUAUAUCUGGUAUGAGAUAAAAAUUCAAAAUAGACAAAGCUUAUCUUUGUCCAUCCCAUUUCUGUUUCCUUCAUUUUAUCUGAUUCUUCACAACUUUAUUUAUUUAGAACUCAGGAUGUCCAGAUGCCUGAACUUUUUCACUGAUAAUAGAUCUUGUAUGGGCUGAUUCAGCUGAGCCAGUUGUGGUUUUUAAAGGCUCAGUCUGGUGCAGGAUGUUGGAUCCCACGCAGAAUGAGAAGGGCAUGCAUUUUGGGAAGUGGCAUGGCAGAGUGAGCAGUGGUGGCUGUGUAGCAUGGAAUGUUGGAGCACAAAAGAGUGAGGAGGGCAUUCAUAUACCAAAUGAGGGGUGUUAGAUCCUGAGUGGGUUGCAGGGGAGGAGGGUGAGCACAUCUGUUUGGGGAACAACAGUGGCAACAGCCUAGUAUAGGAUAUUGGAACCUGAGCAGAGGGAGGAGGAUAUCUGGAAGAAGGAUGGCAUGAGGCAGCUGACAACUCAGAGUAAGAUGUCAGAACCUGCUGGGCGCAGUGGCUCACGCUUGUAAUCCCAGCACUUUGGGAGGCCAAGGCGGGUGGAUCACCUAAGGUUGGGAGUUUGAGACCAGCCUGACCAACAUGGAGGAACUCCUGUCUCUACUGAAAAUACAAAAAUUAGCCAGCUGUUGUGGCAUGUGCCUGUAAUCCCAGCUACUUGGGAGGCUGAAGCAGGAGAAAUGCUUGAACCUUGGAGGUGGAGGUUAUGGUGAGCCGACAUCAUUGCCAUUGCACUUCAGCCUGGGCAACAAGCGAAACUCUGUUUCAAAAAAAAAAAAGUCAGAACCUGAAUGAGGUGAGACAGGUGUAUUCAUGCUGGGGUGUGGUUGUGGUGACAGGAGAUUGGUUAUAUAUAGGGAGAUUGGUUAAAUACAGGCAUACCUCAGAGAUACUGUAGAAUUGGUUCUAGACCACUGCAGUUCCAAAAGUAUUCUUUAGUUAUAGACCACCAAAGCAAGUUACACAAAUUUUUUUGGUUUCCUAGUACAUAUAAAAGUUACAUAUACACUGUGCUGUAGUGUAAGUUUGUAAUAGCAUAUGUGUAAAACAACAAUGUAUAUGCCUUAAUUUAAAAAUACUUUAUUGCUGGGCCAGGUGCAGUGGCUCCCACCUGUAGCCCUAGCACUUUGAGAGGCCAAGGUGAGAAGAUAGCUUGAAGUCAGAAGUUCGGCCAGCCUGGGUAAUGGCAGCUCCCACCUAUAGCUCUAGCACUUUGGGAGGCCAAGGUAGGAAGAUUGCUUGAGGCCAGAAGUUUGACCAGCCUGGGCAACAUAGUGAGACUCCACGUCUACAAAAAAAAAAAAAAGCUGGAUUUGGUGGUAUACACCUGUAAUCCCAGCUGCUCAAGAGACUGAGAUGGAAAGAUGGCUUGAGCCCAGGAGGUCGAGGCUGCAAUAAACUGUGAUUGCGCCACUGGAUUCUGGCCUAGGUGCUGGAGUGAUAUCCUGUCUUAAAAAGAAAAAACCUUCAUUGCUAAAAAAUUCUAAUGAUCUUCUGAGCCUUCAGUGACUGUGUAUAAUCUUUUUGCUAGUGAAAAGUCUUUCUUCGAUGUUGAUAACUGCUGACUGAUCAGGGUGAUGGUUGUUGCAGGCUGGAGUGGCUGUGGCAAUUUCUUAAUACAAGACAAUAGGCUGGGCACAGUAGCUCAUGCCUGUAAUCCCAGCACUUUGGGAGGCUGAGGCAGGUGGAUCACAAGGUUAGGAGUUCAAGAUCAGCUUGGCCAAGAUGGUGAAACCCCCGUCUCUACUAAAAAUACAAAAAUUAGCCAGGCAUAGUAGUGGGUGCCUGUAAUCCAAGCUACUUGGGAAGCUGAGCAGGAGAAUUGCUUGAACCCAGGAGGCGGAGGUUGUAGUGAGCCGAGAUUGCACCAGUACACUCCAGCCUGGGAAGCAGAGUAAGACUCCGUCUCACAAAAGAAAGAAUGUGUGUGUGUGUGUGUGUGUGUGUGUGUGUGUGGUUUGCCACACUGAGGUUUGCCACAUCAGUUGACUCUUAUUUUCAUGAAAGAUUUCUCUGUAGCCUGAGAUGCUGUUUGAUAGCAUUUUACCCACAAUAGAACUUUCAAAAUUGGAGUCAGUCCUCUCAACCAUGCUGCUGCUUUACAACUAAGUUUAUGUAAUAUUUGAAAUCCUUUGUUGCCAUUUCAACAAUGUUCAUAGCAUCUUUACCAGGAGCAGUUUCCAUCUCAAGAAACUACUUUCUUUGCUCAUCCAGAAGCAGCAGUUUCUCAUCUAUCAAGCUUUAUCAUGAGAUUGAGGCACUUCAGUCACAUCUUCAGGCUUGACUUCUAAUUCUAGUUCUCUUGCUAUAUCAACCACAUCGACAGUUUUCCCUCCACCCACAGAAGCCUUGAACCCCUCACGAGAGUUGAAAUUAACUUCUUUCAAACUCUUGUUCAUGUUAAUAAUUUGACUUCCUCCCAUGAGUCAUAAAUCUUCUUAAUGGCAUAUGGGAUGGUAAAUUCUUUCCCAGAAGAUUUUCUAUAUACUUUGCCUAGAUCCAUCAGAGGAAUUACUAUUUUUUUUUCUUUUUGAGACAGGGCCUUUCUGUGUCACCUAGGCUGGAGUGUGAUGGUGCCAUCUUGGCUCACUGCAACCUCUGCUUCCUAGGUUCAAGCAGUUCUCCUGCCUCAGCCUAGCAAGUAGCUUUUGAUAUAAAAUGAGAAACAUUCAGCUCUUCCUUUUGCUUGAAGAGUUAGAGGUCACUGUAGUGUUAUUAAUUGGCCUAAUUUCAGUAUUGUUGUGUCUCAAGGAAUAGGACAGUACAAGGAGAAGGAGAGAGGUGGGGAAUGGCCGGUUGGUAGAACAGUCACAACACACAACAUUUACUGAUUAAAUUCGCUAUCUUAUAUGAGUGUGAUUUGUGUUGCCUCCUAAAAUUUAUAGUAGUAACAUCAAAAAUCACUGAAUGCAGAUUACCAUAACAAAUAGUAAUAUAACAAUAAUGGAAAGGUUUGAGGCCAGGUGCAGUGGCUCACACCUGUAAUCCCAGCCCUUUGGGAGACUGAGGUGGGCAGAUCAUGAGGUCAGGAUUUCAAGACCAGCUUGGCCAACAUGAUGAAACCCCAUCUCUACUAAAAAUACAAAAAUUAGCCAGGCAUGGUGGUGCAUGCCUGUAGUCCCAGCUCCUUGGGAGGCUGAGGCAGGAGAAUCAUUUGAACCUGGGAAAGGGUGGUUGCAAUGAGGGAUCACGCCACUGCACUCCAGCAUGGGUGACAGAGUGAGAUUCCAUUUCCAAAAAAAACUGAAAUAUUAGGAGAAUUACCAAAAUAUGACACAGAGUCAUGAAGCAAACACAUGUUUGAAAAAUGGCACUGAGUUUCUGGGAUCAGCGCCUGGCCUGUGCCAGCUUUGCAGAUCCCAUCUGGUGCAGACCCUUGUGGCCGGGGCAAGGAGGGGCCUAAGUAGCUGGCCAGCGGGUGCUGCCGCCUGCGGGUCCCAGAUCCCUUGGGGACAUCUGCAUUGCUUCAGAAGCCCAAGACUGUGAAGUGGAAGUUCAGCGUGGCAGGCAGUAGCUUCUCAAAGGUACUGUGCAAGGGCUGCCUCUGGUUCCAGCUCCCUGAGCAUGGCUCCCGGCUGUGCCUGCACAAGGAUGGCACAGAGCUGACCAAAGUCUACUUUCCCAGCAUCCCUGACAACUCUGAGCUGAUGCUGCUCACCUUGGGCCAGGCCAGGCAAGGCUAUGUGAGUGACAUUGGGCGCUUCCUCAGUGCAUUUCACGAGCCGCACGUGGGGUUCAUCCAGGCCUCCGGGCAGCUGCUGUGUGAUGAGCAGAGGCAGAGGUUGCUAGCCAACCUCCUGCACAACACGAGCCAGAAUAUCAUGGCAGAGACCCUGGCUGAGGACCCGCUGUGGUUUGAAGGCUUAAAGUCCCAAUUUCGGAAUAAGUCUGGCUAUCUGAUAUACAAUUGUGAGAGCCGGAUCCGAAGUUACCUGAGAGAGGUGAGCUCCUACUCCUCCAAGGUGGGUGCAGAGGCUAAGGAGGAAUUCUUGUGAAUCCUUGGCUCCAUAUGCCAGAUACUCCAGUCUGAGCAGUACAACGGCAGCUACUUGGACAGCACUGGCACUACUCCGGUGUGCAGAGGCAAGGGCGGCGGCCGUCUCUGCGCACCGCAAGGUUGGUUCUCCUGCCAGGGCCCCUUCGACAUGGACGUCUGCUUGUCGAGACACUCACAUCAACCCCUAUAGUAAUAGGGAGAGCAGGAUCCUCUUCAGCACCUGGAACCUGGAUCACAUAAUAGAAAAAAGAAUGUACCAUCAUUCCUACACUGGGGGAAGCAGUUAAGGAACAAGACAGAAGAGAAGUGAACUGGGAAUAUUUUUAUGGCCUGCUUUUUACCUCAGAGAACUUAAAAUUAGUGUACAUUGUCCUCCAUAAGAAAACCACCCACAAGCUCAACUGUGACCAUAACAGAAUCUACAAACCCCAGACAAGGUUGAAGAGGAAGCAGCCUGUGUGAAAGCACCAGUGACACAUACACACCAUGUUCUUUUCUUUGUGUGAGGCCUGAUAGGCAUAAUUUUAACAGGUGCCUUUUUAUUUUUUUUGGUCACUCCAGUAGCUCCUGGGAAAAACCUUAAAAAAUGUUUCCUGUAUAUCUGAUUUCAGUACAUUUCUGAAUCUGUGUGUGUGUGUGUGUGUGUGUGUGUGUGUGUGUGUUUUGUAGACGGAGUUUCACUUUUGUUGCCCAGGCUGGAGUGUAGUGGCAUGAUCUUGGCUCACUGCAACCUCUGCCUCCUGGGUUCAAGUUAUUCUCCUGCCUCAGUCUCCUGAGUAGCUGGGAUUAUAGGCAUGCACACUAUUCCCGGCUAAUUUUUGUAUUUUUAGUAGAGAUGGAGUUUCGCCACGUCAGUCAGACUAGUCUAAAACUCCUGACCUCAGGUGAUUCACCCGCCUCAGCUUCCCAAAGUUCUGGGAUUACAGGUGUGAGCCACCACACUGGGCCUGAAUCAAUUUUUAUACCUUCUGACAGCCCAACUUCCAGAGGACAGCUUUGGGGUGCUCACUGGAUGUCUGUGAGUUCCUGGUCAUACUGGUCAUUAGGGAUAAGAAUUGUCUCUGAGCUGAGGAAUUCUUCUGUUAUUUGGUUUGCUCAUGUAGUGUGGUCACCAUACUAAAAUGGUGUCAUGGCUGAAGUUGGCCACUUUUGCUUGAGGGACAAGUUGUUUAUGCCUCAGGUCGCUGCUGGUUCUUCAUUUCCAUGGCAAAUGGGCAGCUCCAUCCUUCUUGACUCUUUUUAUAUGCCCAAAAGAGAGGUGUCAUGCUUUGGGGGUAAGAUGUUUGUACUCCAUAAAGAACAUACGAGGACAUUCACUGCUGAUUUUUUUUUUUCUUUUUUUUGAGACAGGGUCUCACUCUCACCCAGGCUGGAGUGCAGUGGUGCAGUCUCGGCUCACUGCGACCUCUGCCUCCUGGGUUCAAGCGAUUCUCCUGCCUCACCCUCCCAAGAAGCUGGGAUUACAGGCACCCACAACCAUGGCUGACUAAUGUUUGUAUUUUUUGUAGAGUCCAGGUUUCACUAUGUUGGCCAGGCUGGUCUUGAACUCCUGACCUCAGGUGAUCUGCCCACCUUGGCCUUUCAAAGUGCUGGGAUUACAGGCAUGAGCCACCACACCUGGCAUACUGAAAUGUUUAUAACGGCAGGAAACCUCCCAAUGUCUAUGAGUAGGACCAUCGCUAUUAUGUUGAACCACAUGAAACUGCUGUUUUUCUAGGCCCAAGAUGGUCAGCUAUCAUAAUUUCAUGAUUCAACCUGAUACAUUUACGUAGUGCAAAACUAUGUCACAGUUUCAAGCUUUUAUGAAGAAAGUGUUUCUCUGUAGAAGCUGGAAGCUGUUCAGUGCACUGGAAGCUGAACCCUGCUCUGUUUAUCAGAGUUACUGUCAUCUCAGAUAAUAUGGAGCUCAUGUCAGCAGUGCAGGCAGCGGGUGCGCAGAGACAGUCUAGAAGGAAACAUGCCAAACUGAACAGCAGUAAUCCUGAGGGACACAGAAGUGGGACUGGAUUACAGAGGGCCCAUUUUCAAAAGCAUGUAUUUUAUGAUACUUGAAUUUUUUGAAAUGGGCAUUUUAUAACAUGUUAAAAUGUACCUUUAAAAAAGUCAUUUGUAAUAUUUGAAUUUUUACAUUUGUUAUAUAAUCAGGAAAAGCAAUACGAAUUUUCUAAAAAUGAAAAAUGGCACUGAUAGGCUUGCUUGUCUUGUGAUUGUUGCAGACCUUCUAUUUAUAAGAAAACACAAUAUAUGUGAAGUGCAAUAAAGCAAAGUGCAACAUAUGCCUGCAAGUACAUAUGUUGAUGAUGAAAGGACCCAAGAUUCUCACUGUCAGAAAAGGGAGUUAUGUAUGUGAAAAGGAAGAAAAGCUUGUGGUGGUAGAGUGGAAUUGGAGGUACUGGUGUGAACUCAUGGUUUUCAAAAUGUAUUGAUAUACCUAGAAAUAGAUAUGGAUGUAAAUGUGGAUAUGUGUGUCUGUCUGUCUGCGUGUGUAGACAUAUUCUCUAGCUCUGUCCACUGAGAGGGCCUAGAAACAUUGCUACUCCUUAGCAAUUAGCACGCUUAGAAGCCAGGUCUUAUUUUCUAAAUACAGUUAUCCACUGAAAGGACCCAGAGCUCAGAGCAAUGACUGACUCCAGGGCAGGAGGAAGGUAUAAGAUGAGCUUGGAACAUAUUGUGCCAGAAAGUAAAGACGUGCUGAAAGAAUAUUUUAAAAGGACACAGCUUGCAAGGACUCCUGCCAGGGCAAUAUGAGCAUCAAAAUAAAUAAUGAUAGUAAUAGAUGGGAGUCAACUGAAUAAAAUGAAAAUCCAUGAGUGCAAACUAAGAAAUAAGUGAAUUAAUAAAUGGGUAGAAACGAAAGCUUUUUUUAAAGCAAUAAUUUGCUGAAUGAUAGAAUUAGAAAAAUAACAAUUUGAGAAUCAUGGUAAUAUUUAAUUCAGCUAAGGAACACAAAAGGAUGCUAAUAUUAGGCACAGUGGUUCACACCUGUAAUCUCUACACUUUGGGAAGCUGAAGUGGGAGGACUGCUUGAGGCCAAGAGUUUGAGAUCAACCUGGGCAACAUAGUAAGGCGCCGUUCCUACCAAAAAAAAAAAAAAAAAAAAAAAGAGCCAAGAGAAGAGUAGUCCCACCCAUUCAGGAGGCUGAAGCAUGAGGAUUGCUUGAGCCCAGGAUGUGAAGCCUGCAAUGAGCUACAAUUGUGUUGCUUA
This is a non-coding RNA of Callithrix jacchus (white-tufted-ear marmoset), 7548 nucleotides long. The record is from RefSeq and is a predicted model, not a curated record. Lineage: Eukaryota; Metazoa; Chordata; Mammalia; Primates; Cebidae.